RNAcentral lists this ribosomal RNA (253 nucleotides) under uncultured bacterium. RNAcentral describes it as "partial 16S ribosomal RNA". It matches the Rfam family "Bacterial small subunit ribosomal RNA", at positions 524 to 776 of the family's 1533-position model. The record is from RNAcentral.
CACGUAGGGGGCGAGCGUUGUCCGGAUUUAUUGGGCGUAAAGAGCUCGUAGGCGGUCUGUCGCGUCGGAUGUGAAAAUCCAGGGCUCAACCCUGGACCUGCAUUCGAUACGGGCAGACUAGAGUUCGGUAGGGGAGACUGGAAUUCCUGGUGUAGCGGUGAAAUGCGCAGAUAUCAGGAGGAACACCGGUGGCGAAGGCGGGUCUCUGGGCCGAAACUGACGCUGAGGAGCGAAAGCGUGGGGAGCAAACAGG